Molecule: long non-coding RNA, 803 nt
Organism: Oncorhynchus tshawytscha (Chinook salmon)
Lineage: Eukaryota; Metazoa; Chordata; Actinopteri; Salmoniformes; Salmonidae
Source: Ensembl
CCACAGAUCCAGCAGCUGCUGAAGGAAGGGUUCCUGAGGGAGGAGAUCGUCCUGGAUAACGUCCCUAAGCUGCUCAACUGUCUCCGGGACUGUAACGUUUCCAUACGCUGGCUGAUGCUACACACUGCAGACUCCGGUAGGGCCUUUCUGUUGACGUCUAGGUCCAUGCAUCAAAUGGGCUUACAACUGAUUUAUGGAAGCAUCCAUAAAGGCCUUAUGAAGGGUUCAGGAAGCAUCCAUAAAGGGUUCAGGAAGCAUCCAUAAAGGGUUCAGGAAGCAUCCAUAAAGGGUUCAGGAAGCAUCCAUAAAGGGUUCAGGAAGCAUCCAUAAAGGGUUCAUGAAGCAUCCAUAAAGGGUUCAGGAAGCAUCCAUAAAGGCCUUAUGAAGGGUUCAGGAAGCAUCCAUAAAGGGUUCAGGAAGCAUCCAUAAAGGCCUUAUAAAGGUGACGCUGUGUCACGCCAGGCGAUACUAUAUCACGCCAGGUGCUCCUAUAUCACGCCAGGCGGCGCUGUGUCACGCCAGGUGCUCCUAUAUCACGCCAGGUGCUCCUAUAUCACGCCAGGCGCUCCUAUAUCACGCCAGGCGCUCCUAUAUCACGCCAGGCGCUCCUAUAUCACGCCAGGCGAUACUAUAUCACGCCAGGCGCUCCUAUGUCACGCCAGGCGGCGCUGUGUCACGUCAGGCGGCGCUGUGUCACGUCAGGCGGCGCUGUGUCACGCCAGGCUGCGCUGUGUCACGCCAGGUGCUCCUAUAUCAUGCCAGGCGAUACUAUAUCACGCCAGGUGCUCCUAUAUCAUGCCACA